This 492-nucleotide ribosomal RNA is filed under the name uncultured bacterium. RNAcentral's name for it is "partial 16S ribosomal RNA". It matches the Rfam family "Bacterial small subunit ribosomal RNA", at positions 29 to 507 of the family's 1533-position model. The record is from RNAcentral.
AGUGAACGCUGGCGGUAGGCCUAACACAUGCAAGUCGAACGGCAGCACAGUAAGAGCUUGCUCUUACGGGUGGCGAGUGGCGGACGGGUGAGGAAUACAUCGGAAUCUACUUUUUCGUGGGGGAUAACGUAGGGAAACUUACGCUAAUACCGCAUACGACCUACGGGUGAAAGCAGGGGAUCUUCGGACCUUGCGCGAUUGAAUGAGCCGAUGUCGGAUUAGCUAGUUGGCGGGGUAAAGGCCCACCAAGGCGACGAUCCGUAGCUGGUCUGAGAGGAUGAACAGCCACACUGGGACUGAGGAACGGUCCAGACACCUACGGGGAGCAACAGUGGGGAAUAUUGGACAAUGGGGGCAAGCCUGAUCCAGCCAUACCGGGGGGGGGAAGAAGGCCUUCGGGUUGGAAAGCCCUUUUGUUGGGAAAGAAAAGCAGCAGGUUAAUACCCCGCUGUUCUGACGGUACCCAAAGAAUAAGCACCGGCUAACUUCGUG